UAGAUACCCUGGUAGUCCCAGCCGUAAACGAUGGGCGCUAGGUGCGGGGGGACACGACCCUCCGUGCCGCAGCCAACGCAUUAAGCGCCCCGCCUGGGGAGUACGGCCGCAAGGCUAAAACUCAAAGGAAUUGACGGGGGCCCGCACAAGCAGCGGAGCAUGUGGCUUAAUUCGAAGCAACGCGAAGAACCUUACCAGGGCUUGACAUGCGGGUGAAGCGGCGGAGACGCCGUGGCCGGAAGGAGCCCGC
RNAcentral lists this ribosomal RNA (250 nucleotides) under uncultured bacterium. RNAcentral's name for it is "partial 16S ribosomal RNA". It matches the Rfam family "Bacterial small subunit ribosomal RNA", at positions 779 to 1032 of the family's 1533-position model. The record is from RNAcentral.